This 72-nucleotide transfer RNA is filed under the name Marmota monax (woodchuck). It matches the Rfam family "tRNA". Rfam says of the family: Transfer RNA (tRNA) molecules are approximately 80 nucleotides in length. Their secondary structure includes four short double-helical elements and three loops (D, anti-codon, and T loops). The record is from Rfam by way of RNAcentral. Lineage: Eukaryota; Metazoa; Chordata; Mammalia; Rodentia; Sciuridae.
UGGGUUGUGGCUCAACGGUAGAGCACUCAUCUCACACGUGCGGGACACUGGGUUUGAUCCUCAGCACCACAU